This 240-nucleotide unclassified non-coding RNA is filed under the name soil metagenome. Its description in RNAcentral is "partial contains 5.8S ribosomal RNA, internal transcribed spacer 2, and large subunit ribosomal RNA". The record is from RNAcentral.
AACGCACGAGACCUGCGGACCUGCGGAAGGAUCAUUACCGAGUUUACAACUCCCAAACCCAAUGUGAACGUUACCAAACUGUUGCCUCGGCGGGAUCUCUGCCCCGGGUGCGUCGCAGCCCCGGACCAAGGCGCCCGCCGGAGGACCAACCAAAACUCUUUUGUAUACCCCCUCGCGGGUUUUUAUAUCUGAGCCAUCUCGGCGCCUCUCGUAGGCGUUCCGAAAAUGAAUCAAAACUUU